This 253-nucleotide ribosomal RNA is filed under the name uncultured bacterium. RNAcentral describes it as "partial 16S ribosomal RNA". It matches the Rfam family "Bacterial small subunit ribosomal RNA", at positions 524 to 776 of the family's 1533-position model. The record is from RNAcentral.
UACGUAGGGUGCAAGCGUUAAUCGGAAUUACUGGGCGUAAAGCGUGCGCAGGCGGCUUUGCAAGACAGAUGUGAAAUCCCCGGGCUUAACCUGGGAACUGCAUUUGUGACUGCAUGGCUGGAGUGCGGCAGAGGGGGAUGGAAUUCCGCGUGUAGCAGUGAAAUGCGUAGAUAUGUGGAGGAACACCGAUGGCGAAGGCAGCCCCCUGGGCUAACACUGACGCUCAGGCACGAAAGCGUGGGGAGCAAACAGG